This 215-nucleotide long non-coding RNA is filed under the name Amborella trichopoda. Its description in RNAcentral is "long non-coding RNA (ATRI_LNC002913)". The record is from RNAcentral. Lineage: Eukaryota; Viridiplantae; Streptophyta; Magnoliopsida; Amborellales; Amborellaceae.
AAAACGAAUCAGACAACAUUGAUUUAGAGUUUAGAGCCAAAAUUUAUCCCAACGAUUGGGGGCUUUCUCUUACAGUUCAAGCUCGCCCGUUGGUUUUUGAAAGACCGGUUUGUGUAAAAAAUGUUGAAAAAAACUUGAGGGAAGAGAUGAACCCACUUCUAGGAUUAAGGGCAAUGUCUUUAGACUAUCGAUCGCAAAGAUCAGGCUUUUACAAG